UCACUUACCUGGCAGGGGGAAUACCAUGAUCAGGAAGGUGGUUUCCCCAGGGUGAGGCUCUUCCAUUGCACACUUCGGUUGGGUUGACCCUUGUGAUUGAUUUCCCCAAAUGUGAGAAACUCAACUGCAUAAUUUAUAGUAGUGGGGGACUGCGUUCGCACACUUUUA
Protopterus annectens (West African lungfish) is the source of this 168-nucleotide small nuclear RNA. RefSeq annotates it as U1 spliceosomal RNA. The transcript has a single exon. Lineage: Eukaryota; Metazoa; Chordata; Ceratodontiformes; Protopteridae. The record is from RefSeq and is a predicted model, not a curated record.